Long non-coding RNA from Neofelis nebulosa (Clouded leopard), 2321 nucleotides. RefSeq lists it as uncharacterized. The transcript has 2 exons. The record is from RefSeq and is a predicted model, not a curated record. NCBI's taxonomy places the organism in Eukaryota, Metazoa, Chordata, Mammalia, Carnivora, Felidae.
UUAAUAAAGAAUUAAGCAACAGGAUUUAAGGCAGGAAGGAAUAGGCUACCUCUACUGUUCUGUGCAGAUGCAGUCAGGGUUGUCCUUAUCUGUAAUGCUACUCAGCUCAGAGCCUUGAAGGGAAAAAAAGACCAGGUGCCAAUCUUUUGGUUAUACGACAAGAGGACAACAGAACUCUUCUUCUGGAUUGGUUCCAUCAAUGUUCCUGAAGUUAGGAAAUACCUUGCCAGUAAGUGACAGCCAGGCUUUUUUUUUUUUUUAAUGUUUAUUUUUUUUUGUAAUCUCUACACCCAAUGUGGGGCUUGAACUCACCACCCCAAGAUCAAGAACUGCAUGCUGUUCCUACUGAGCCAGACAGGAUCUCUAGUAAGUGACUGCCUUUUAAAGUUCUUAUGAUACUGGACAAUGUCCCUACUCACCCAGAACUCCAUGAGCUCAUCACAGAAGGCAUCAAAGUGGUUUACUUACCCACAAACACAAUUAUCUCUAAUUCAGUCUCUAGAUCAGGGGGUCAUUAAGACCUUUAGGGUUCAUUACACAUAAUACUCUAUGGAAAGGAUAGUCAACACUAUGGAAAAGAACCCUGAAAGGGAAAACAUUAUGAAAGUCUGGAAGGAUCACAUCAUUGAAGAUUCAAUCAUUGUUAUAGAAAAAGCCAUGAAAGCAUCAAGCCAGGAACAAUAAAUUCCUGCUGGAGAAAGCUGUGCUCAGAUGUUAAACAUGACUUCAAAGGAUUUACAACAGGGCCAGCCAUAGAGAUUAUAUAUGGCAAAAAAAGGUGGAGGGUGAGAGUUUCAAGGAUCUUAGAGAAAUUCAAGAGCUAAUAGACACCACACCAGAAAAAUGAACAGAAGACAACUUGAUGGAAAUGAAUGCUUUGGAAAUAGUGCCAGACGAUGAGGAAGGAGACAAAGAAGGAGUCACAGAAGCCAGAAAACAAGUUGAUGUUAGACAAUCUGGCAGAAGGGUUCUGAUUAUUCAAGACCGCUUGUGACUUCUACAACAUGGACCCUUCUAUGAUACAGGCACCGAAACUAAAACAAACGGUGGAAAAACAAUUGAUACUGGAUAGAAGCAUUUUUAGAGAAAUGAAAAUACAAAAAGUCAGAAGUUGCGAUGUAUUUCCAUAAAGUUACACUGAGUGUGCCUGCCUCUCCUGCCUCCCCUUUGACCUCUUCCACCUCUGCCAGCCCUGAGAUAGCAAGACCGAUCCUUCCUUUCUCCACCUCCUCAGCCUACUCAAUGUGAAGAUGAUGAGGAUGAAAACCUUUAUGGUGAUUCACUUCCAUUUAAUAAUCAAUCAUGCUGUACAGCCAACAAACUUAUGUGUUAUGCAUAUAUGUGAGUGUCUUCAUAUGAAAAUCUAACAACUGUACAAUAAUUGUGUGAGACAUUUUGUGUCACCAUUACCAUCAUCGCCUAAGUGCUCAUCAUGUAGAACACUGCAUGUGAAACCUGUAUGGGAGUGGAGAGCCUAUCCUCACAUAGACAUAAGAAUUAUCCGAUGGAAAAAAGACAGUCUCUUUAACAAAUGGUGCUGGGAGAACUGGACAGCAACAUGCAGAAGAAUGAAACUAGACCACUAACUUACACCAUUCACAAAAAUAAACUCAAAAUAGAUGAAGGACCUGAAUGUGAGACAGGAAACCAUCAAAACCCUAGAGGAGAAAGCAGGAAAAAACCUCUCUGACCUCAGCUGCAGCAAUUGCUUACUUGACACAUCUCCAAAGGCAAGGGAAUUAAAAGCAAAAAAUGAAUUGGGACCUCACCAAGAUAAAAAGCUCUGCACUGAAAAGGAAACAAUCAAUAAAACUAAAAGGCAAUCGAUGGAAUGGGGAAAGAUAUUUGCAAAUGACAUAUCAGACAAAGGGCUAGUAUCCAAAAUCUAUAAAGAGCUCACCAAACUCCACACCCCAAAAAUAAAUAAUCCAGUGAAGAAAUGGGCAGAAGACAUGAAUAGACACUUCUCUAAAGAAGACAUCCAGAUGGCCAAGAGGCACAUGAAGAGAUGCUCAACGUCACUCCUCAUUAGGGAAAUACAAAUCAAAACCACACUGAGAUACCACCUCAUGCCAGUCAGAGUGGCUAAAAUGAACAAAUCAGGAGACUAUAGAUGCUGGCGAGGAUGUUGAGAAACAGGAACCCUCUUGCAAUGUUGGUGAGAAUGCAAACUGGUACAGCUGCUCUGGAAAACAGUGUGGAGGUUCCUCAAAAAAUUAAAAAUAGAUCUACCCUAUGACGCAGCAAUAGUACUGCUAGGAAUUUACUCAAGGGAUACAGGAGUGCUGACGCAUAAGGGUACUUAUACCCCAAUGUUUAUA